GACUCCAUCGUCUAGCUUGGUUAGGACACCAGGUUUUCGCCCUGGCAACAUGGGUUCAAAUCCCGUUGGAGUCACCA
RNAcentral lists this transfer RNA (77 nucleotides) under marine sediment metagenome. RNAcentral describes it as "tRNA-Glu". It matches the Rfam family "tRNA". Rfam says of the family: Transfer RNA (tRNA) molecules are approximately 80 nucleotides in length. Their secondary structure includes four short double-helical elements and three loops (D, anti-codon, and T loops). The record is from RNAcentral.